This 253-nucleotide ribosomal RNA is filed under the name uncultured bacterium. RNAcentral's name for it is "partial 16S ribosomal RNA". It matches the Rfam family "Bacterial small subunit ribosomal RNA", at positions 524 to 776 of the family's 1533-position model. The record is from RNAcentral.
UACAGAGGUGGCAAGCGUUGUUCGGAAUUACUGGGCGUAAAGGGCGCGUAGGCGGCCAUCUAAGUCAGACGUGAAAUCCCCCGGCUUAACCUGGGAACUGCGUCUGAUACUGGACGGCUCGAGUUUGGGAGAGGGAUGUGGAAUUCCAGGUGUAGCGGUGAAAUGCGUAGAUAUCUGGAGGAACACCGGUGGCGAAGGCGGCAUCCUGGACCAACACUGACGCUGAGACGCGAAAGCUAGGGGAGCAAACGGG